GACUUGGCUUUCACCUCAGGAACUCUUCGAAACAGUUGUUUUGAAGGCAAUCUGCUAAGAUGGUUUGUGAAGCGCCGUUUUCUCUGCCCAUCUUGAGGGGGGACGGCUCCUUCCGCCACUUGGUCAAAUUACGGAGUGGGGCUGCUGUCCUUUGACAUGACUCUGUCCCCCCGGCCUCAGUGACUGUUGAGCAAUGCGUACAAUUAAAGUCAAAACCCUGGAUUUUCCCUCUCCAGCAUCCACAGGCUGCAGAGAGUGGAGCCUGGGUCUCUCUGUGCCUAAAUGAUUCGGUGGAGUGAGUGUCACUGUCCAAGGGAGAGAAAGUGAAGCCUGGAGUACCAAGCAUCUGUGCUGCUGGCUGGAUACUCAACCAAACACUGAAUCAGGGCACUGGGCCUUUAAGACAGAAGAAAACACAUUCUGGCGGGGUGGAGCCUGGCCCAAUUAUCCAGGUGCCGGGAUGUUGCUGGGGCCUGCCUUUGUUAGGAUCAGGUCUUGGUGGUUCUGGUUUGCAGUUCUGGCAGCACCAGCCCCGCUUCCCUACUUCCCGCCACACAAGGAAGGUUUGGCAGCGCCUGUGCUGGGGGAGCAGCCGAAAGUAAGGAAGAAGGCUGACCUUUGGGGGUGAAGGUGAGGUCACCCAGUCUGUUGACUGAGCAAGUGUUUCGAAUCCUGUGUAUGUGUGUGUGUGUGUGUGUGUCUGUCCUGAGCUAGAAUUGGUGGCUCUGAAAAGAGGGUCCAGGCUUCCCAUGCCUCCAACCCCCACCUGGUAUUCCAGCUGCACACAGUAAGUCCUUGAUAAUAACGGGCAAAGAUUAAGAAAGGGAGUGUAUUAGCAGGAGAACUGGCCAGAGACUUGGGUUCUAGCUCCGACUUCACCUGAAGCUUUUUCAAAGCUCCUUAACUUCCCCAGCUUAUCCACUUUCUAUAAAAGAAGUCAAUAAUUCCACCCUCACCUCCUCUGGCUACUGUGAAACCGAUGAGAUAAUUGAGCAGACAUUUUCUUCCAAGGACCAAAGAAUAGAACCAGCUGGGCAGAAGUCAUAAGGGGGCAGAUUUUAGGUCAAAAUCAGGAAGAAAUUUCUAUUAACCAAAGUGCCCUCUAGAGGUCCCCUAAUUGAACAAAGAAACUUCUGUUCUGGGAACUGCUCAAGCCAGACAGAUGGAUCCGCUGACGGAUGUCCUGCAAGAGGGGGGCUGACCCCUGGGCUGUAAGGUCCCUUUGAAAUGUGAGUGGCUCCAUUUUGGUGGAUGUAGAA
Molecule: long non-coding RNA, 1259 nt
Organism: Bos indicus x Bos taurus (hybrid cattle)
Lineage: Eukaryota; Metazoa; Chordata; Mammalia; Artiodactyla; Bovidae
Source: Ensembl